GCCUAUGGAGGAGCUCGCGGCUGAUUAGCUAGUUGGUGGGGUAAAGGCUUACCAAGGCGACGAUCAGUAGCUGGUCUGAGAGGAUGAUCAGCCACACUGGGACUGAGACACGGCCCAAACUCCUACGGGAGGCAGCAGUGGGGAAUUUUCCGCAAUGGGGGCAACCCUGACGGAGCAACCCCGCGUGAGGGAAGAAUGGUUGUGGCCAGUAAACCUCUUUUAAUAGGGAAAAAAACUGACGGUACCUAUUGAAUAAGCAUCGGCUAACUCCGUGCCAGCAGCCGCGGUAAUACGGAGGAUGCAAGCGUUAUCCGGAAUUAUUGGGCGUAAAGGGUCCGCAGGUGGUUAAUCAAGUCAGCUGUAAAAUACUCAGGCUUAACUUGGGAUGUGCGGUUGAAACUGAAUGACUAGAGUACGGAAGGGGUAGAGGGAAUUCCUAGUGUAGCGGUGAAAUGCGUAAAUAUUAAGAAAAACACCAGUGGCGAAGGCGCUCUACUGGACCUGUACUGACACUGAGGGACCAAAG
This 526-nucleotide ribosomal RNA is filed under the name uncultured cyanobacterium. RNAcentral describes it as "bacterial SSU rRNA". It matches the Rfam family "Bacterial small subunit ribosomal RNA", at positions 217 to 759 of the family's 1533-position model. The record is from RNAcentral. Lineage: Bacteria; Bacillati; Cyanobacteriota.